This 517-nucleotide ribosomal RNA is filed under the name uncultured bacterium. Its description in RNAcentral is "bacterial SSU rRNA". It matches the Rfam family "Bacterial small subunit ribosomal RNA", at positions 30 to 507 of the family's 1533-position model. The record is from RNAcentral.
CGAACGCUGGCGGCGUGCCUAAUACAUGCAAGUCGAACGCACUUUCGUUAGAUUGAAGAAGCUUGCUUCUGAUUGAUAACAUUUGAGUGAGUGGCGGACGGGUGAGUAACACGUGGGUAACCUGCCCUAAAGUGGGGGAUAACAUUUGGAAACAGAUGCUAAUACCGCACUAAAACCUAGCACCGCAUGGUGCAAGGUUGAAAGAUGGUUUCGGCUAUCACUUUAGGAUGGACCCGCGGUGCAUUAGUUAGUUGGUGAGGUAAAGGCUCACCAAGACCGUGAUGCAUAGCCGACCUGAGAGGGUAAUCGGCCACACUGGGACUGAGACACGGCCCAGACUCCUACGGGAGGCAGCAGUAGGGAAUCUUCCACAAUGGACGAAAGUCUGAUGGAGCAACGCCGCGUGAGUGAAGAAGGUUUUCGAAUCGUAAAACUCUGUUGUUGGAGAAGAACGUAUUUGAUAGUAACUGAUCAGGUAGUGACGGUAUCCAACCAGAAAGCCACGGCUAACUACGUG